GAUGAACGCUGGCGGCGUGCUUAACACAUGCAAGUCGAACGGAAAGGCCAGUGCUUGCACUGGUACUCGAGUGGCGAACGGGUGAGUAACACGUGGGUGAUCUGCCCUGUACUUCGGGAUAAGCUUUGGAAACUGGGUCUAAUACCGGAUAGGACAACUUUUUGGAUAUUGUUGUGGAAAGCUUUUGCGGUAUGGGAUGAGCUCGCGGCCUAUCAGCUUGUUGGUGGGGUAAUGGCCUACCAAGGCGUCGACGGGUAGCCGGCCUGAGAGGGUGUACGGCCACAUUGGGACUGAGAUACGGCCCAGACUCCUACGGGAGGCAGCAGUGGGGAAUAUUGCACAAUGGGCGCAAGCCUGAUGCAGCGACGCCGCGUGGGGGAUGAAGGCCUUCGGGUUGUAAACUACUUUCGCUAGGGACGAAGCGCAAGUGACGGUACCUGGAGAAGAAGCACCGGCUAACUACGUG
Molecule: ribosomal RNA, 466 nt
Filed under: uncultured bacterium
Lineage: Bacteria
Description: partial 16S ribosomal RNA
Rfam family: Bacterial small subunit ribosomal RNA
Source: RNAcentral